UGAAAUUUAUUUUGAGUGAGGUGGGACAGAAAUGAUAUUUUUGCAAAAUUUAUUUCGUCGUCCCACCCCAACUCGCAUUGCCUGUAGAAUUUCAUUUCGAAAUUCUCUAUGUUGGGGCCCCUGACUUUAAUUGAAAAAAGCUUGUUACAAGUGCAUUUUCGUUCGGUUAACUACUACUAAUGUGACUUUUUGGAUUCUAGAGCAUUGAUUUAU
This 213-nucleotide non-coding RNA is filed under the name Staphylococcus aureus subsp. aureus NCTC 8325. RNAcentral describes it as "Staphylococcus sRNA 35 (srn_0335)". It matches the Rfam family "Staphylococcus sRNA 35 (srn_0335)". From Rfam's summary of the family: Other name: Srn_0335, SAOUHSCs258. Northern blot transcript confirmed in exponentially growing and stationary cells in three cultivation media. Trans-encoded. The record is from Rfam by way of RNAcentral. Lineage: Bacteria; Bacillati; Bacillota; Bacilli; Caryophanales; Staphylococcaceae.